RNAcentral lists this ribosomal RNA (492 nucleotides) under uncultured bacterium. Its description in RNAcentral is "partial 16S ribosomal RNA". It matches the Rfam family "Bacterial small subunit ribosomal RNA", at positions 29 to 507 of the family's 1533-position model. The record is from RNAcentral.
AGUGAACGCUGGCGGUAGGCCUAACGCAUGCAAGUCGAACGGCAGCACAGUAAGAGCUUGCUCUUACGGGUGGCGAGUGGCGGACGGGUGAGGAAUACAUCGGAAUCUACUUUUUCGUGGGGGAUAACGUAGGGAAACUUACGCUAAUACCGCAUACGACCUACGGGUGAAAGCAGGGGAUCUUCGGACCUUGCGCGAUUGAAUGAGCCGAUGUCGGAUUAGCUAGUUGGCGGGGUAAAGGCCCACCAAGGCGACGAUCCGUAGCUGGUCUGAGAGGAUGAUCAGCCACACUGGAACUGAGACACGGUCCAGACUCCUACGGGAGGCAGCAGUGGGGAAUAUUGGACAAUGGGCGCAAGCCUGAUCCAGCCAUACCGCGUGGGUGGAGAAGGCCUUCGGGUUGUAAAGCCCUUUUGUUGGGAAAGAAAAGCAGCAGGUUAAUACCCCGCUGUUCUGACGGUACCCAAAGAAUAAGCACCGGCUAACUUCGUG